Molecule: ribosomal RNA, 391 nt
Filed under: uncultured bacterium
Lineage: Bacteria
Description: bacterial SSU rRNA
Rfam family: Bacterial small subunit ribosomal RNA
Source: RNAcentral
AGUGAACGCUGGCGGCAGGCCUAACACAUGCAAGUCGAGCGGCAGCGGGUUCCCGCGAGGGGAUGCCGGCGAGCGGCGGACGGGUGAGGAACACAUCGGAAUCUGCCUGGUUGUGGGGGAUAACGUAGGGAAACUUACGCUAAUACCGCAUGAGACCCUGAGUCGACGGACUGGGGGUGAAAGUGAGGGACCUUCGGGCCUCACGCGACCAGAUGAGCCGAUGUCGGAUUAGCUAGUUGGCGGGGUAACGGCCCGCCAAGGCGACGAUCCGUAGCUGGUCUGAGAGGAUGAUCAGCCACACUGGGACUGAGACACGGCCCAGACUCCUACGGGAGCAGCAGUGGGAAUCUUGGACAAUGGGCGCAAGCCUGAUCCAGCCAUGCCGCGUGGG